UCGCAAUAAUGACGAUGAUGGUGAUGCGAACUGGAAAUCAUCAAAUGUGUAUCAAUGAACUGGUAAUGCAGUGUAUGCGAGACAAAUUCAUAGAGGGUGCUGUCGUCGCCGAGUGGAACUGACUGUGGUGGCAUCAAGAAUCGUCGCCUGUGGAAGGUGAAGGUAUACUCGUCGCUAUCAUCGUUUCUCUUCCCCUCGCCGUCGUCUCUCUCUGUCGCUGUCGAGCCCUCUCUCUGUCGCCGUCGAGCCCUCUCUCUGUGUCGCCGUUGAGCUCUCGAUCUCUCUAUGUCGCCGUCGAGCUCAAUGACCGUUCCUCCAGAUUGGGUACUUGAGGUU
This is a non-coding RNA of Arachis ipaensis, 336 nucleotides long. The record is from RefSeq and is a predicted model, not a curated record. Lineage: Eukaryota; Viridiplantae; Streptophyta; Magnoliopsida; Fabales; Fabaceae.